AGAUUGAACGCUAGCGGGAUGCUUUACACAUGCAAGUCGAACGGCAGCGCGGACUUCGGUCUGGCGGCGAGUGGCGAACGGGUGAGUAAUAUAUCGGAACGUGCCCAGUAGCGGGGGAUAACUACGCGAAAGCGUGGCUAAUACCGCAUACGACCUACGGGUGAAAGCGGAGGACCUUCGGGCUUCGCGCAGAAAGAUGAGCCGACGUCGGAUUAGCUAGGUUGGAGGGUAAUGGCCCACCAAGGCGACGAUCCGUAGCUGGUCUGAGAGGAUGAUCAGCCACACUGGGACUGAGACACGGCCCAGACCUCCGUACGGGAGGCAGCGAGGUGGGAAUAGUUGGAACAAGUGGGCGCAAGCCUGACUCCAGCCAUCGCGCGUGUGAGAAGAACGGUCCGUUGGUAGUAAGCUACGUUUGGUAACGG
RNAcentral lists this ribosomal RNA (425 nucleotides) under uncultured soil bacterium. Its description in RNAcentral is "bacterial SSU rRNA". It matches the Rfam family "Bacterial small subunit ribosomal RNA", at positions 26 to 445 of the family's 1533-position model. The record is from RNAcentral.